ACUAACUGGUUCUGGUCCAUUCCUGGUGGCCAUUCCUCUCUCUUUCCCUACUAUUCUGAAAAUGCACUCAAGUAGAAAUAUAAGAUUAAAUUAUAAUUAAUAUUUAUUAUGGUUGAAGGAAAAAGAAAAGAAGCAGGGUUUGGGUUUGGUUGUCUACGAUUCCUACGCGAUUAUUACACGCUGCCACCUUGCCACAGACACUCACUGCCUUCUAUACAUCAUGACCGUUG
This 230-nucleotide long non-coding RNA is filed under the name Phaseolus vulgaris (common bean). RNAcentral describes it as "long non-coding RNA (PVUL_LNC000965)". The record is from RNAcentral. Lineage: Eukaryota; Viridiplantae; Streptophyta; Magnoliopsida; Fabales; Fabaceae.